RNAcentral lists this ribosomal RNA (253 nucleotides) under uncultured bacterium. RNAcentral describes it as "partial 16S ribosomal RNA". It matches the Rfam family "Bacterial small subunit ribosomal RNA", at positions 524 to 776 of the family's 1533-position model. The record is from RNAcentral.
CACGUAGGGCGCAAGCGUUGUCCGGAAUUAUUGGGCGUAAAGGGUUCGUAGGCGGUUUGUCGCGUCGGGAGUGAAAUCCACUGGCUUAACUGGUGGCUUGCUUUCGAUACGGGCAGACUGGAGGUAUGCAGGGGAGAACGGAAUUCCUGGUGUAGCGGUGAAAUGCGCAGAUAUCAGGAGGAACACCGGUGGCGAAGGCGGUUCUCUGGGCAUGUCCUGACGCUGAGGAGCGAAAGCGUGGGGAGCGAACAGG